This is a long non-coding RNA of Microplitis mediator, 664 nucleotides long. RefSeq lists it as uncharacterized. The transcript has 4 exons. NCBI's taxonomy places the organism in Eukaryota, Metazoa, Arthropoda, Insecta, Hymenoptera, Braconidae. The record is from RefSeq and is a predicted model, not a curated record.
GUGAAGUCAUUUACUAGUAAGUAAAUUUUUUAUUUUCUCGCAAUUUUCCGCUGUUAGAGAACGUUCAUUUUUUGAAAACAAUAAUUAUUAAUCGUCUUUGGAAGCAGAUCAAUUUCGAUUGGAAAAAUGUCAAAGAUACUAUUUGGAUUUAUUGCCGUUCUUGUUGUUAUUGCAAUGAUGCAAGUCACUGUCGAAGCUUGCUCGGGCGGUGGAGGUCGAUCACCGACGAAUUCUUGCAGUCCCUUUGGAUCAUCGUGCUCAAGUUCUAACGAUUGCUGUUCAGGAACCUGCCGCCAGCAAGCACGUGACGAAUAUACUAACUCGUGGGGACAAGAACAUCAUACCGUCUAUUAUUCUGAAUGUGAAUGAUAAUAAUACUUUUCGAGAUAUGUUCCUUAAGGAUCUAAGCCAUUGUCACUGAAAGAAAAAAACAAUUUAAUUCCAGAAAAUCUGUUUACAGUCGAACUCCAUUAACUCGGACUCCAUUAUCUCGGAACUUCCUCUCAAUCUUGACCCCCACUACGAGCUACGCAGUCUCCCACCCGAUACUAUACAUUUGUAUGUCUCUGUCUAUAUUUAUCUAUAUAUUAUUCAUGUAGAUGUAAGAGCGCAUACGUUAUAGUUUCCUUUUAAGGAAGAAGGGGCAUCCGUUGACUCGGAAAUU